Molecule: ribosomal RNA, 403 nt
Filed under: uncultured bacterium
Lineage: Bacteria
Description: partial 16S ribosomal RNA
Rfam family: Bacterial small subunit ribosomal RNA
Source: RNAcentral
AUUGAACGCUGGCGGCAGGCCUAACACAUGCAAGUCGAGCGAGUGGCGGACGGGUGAGUAAUGUAUGGGGACUGCCCGAUAGAGGGGGAUAACUACUGGAAACGGUGGCUAAUACCGCAUACUAUCGGAUAACCCAUAUAGGAUUAGCUAGUCGGGGGGGUAAAGGCUCACCUAGGCGACGAUCUCUAGCUAGUCUGAGAGGAUGAUCAGCCACCUGGGGACUGAGACACAGCCCAGACUACUACGGGGGCAGCAGUGGGGAAUAUUGCACAAUGGGCGAAAGCCUGAUGCAGCCAUGCCGCGUGUAUGAAGAAGGCCUUCGGGUUGUAAAGUUCUUUCAGGAGAGAGGCGUUAACUGCAGAAGAAGCACCGGCUAACUCCGUGCCAGCAGCCGCGGUAAUAC